Molecule: long non-coding RNA, 340 nt
Organism: Apis mellifera (honey bee)
Lineage: Eukaryota; Metazoa; Arthropoda; Insecta; Hymenoptera; Apidae
Exons: 2
Source: RefSeq, a predicted model, not a curated record
CCAGGAAUACUUGCAGGACUAUGCGAUGGAGAUGCUAACCUUUGUAAUUGUUGAUAUUCUUGUUGAAGUGCCUGAAUUCCAGGUCCAGGUGGACCUGAACCUUCAGAUGCUCUCCGAACAGAACCACACAAAAAUUACCAGUGCUAGUAUGAUACAAUGAAGUCUUCCUAUGGUGUGGAAGUGUAGAUCCUCUAAGAUGUGUCGGUAAUAGUCGUGAUGGGAGGUAAGCUCUAUUCAUCCUAGCUUCCACUUCCAUUACCAUUUCCGGGUUUAUAACUACAUGCAUAUUACCAACCAACGAGGCAUGGUAGUGCAGUGGAUACAAAAAAACCAUGCAAAA